This 483-nucleotide ribosomal RNA is filed under the name uncultured bacterium. Its description in RNAcentral is "partial 16S ribosomal RNA". It matches the Rfam family "Bacterial small subunit ribosomal RNA", at positions 29 to 506 of the family's 1533-position model. The record is from RNAcentral.
AUUGAACGCUGGCGGCAUGCUUUACACAUGCAAGUCGAACGGCAGCGCGGGCUUCGGCCUGGCGGCGAGUGGCGAACGGGUGAGUAAUGCAUCGGAACGUGCCCAGUAGUGGGGGAUAGCCCGGCGAAAGCCGGAUUAAUACCGCAUACGACCUGAGGGUGAAAGCGGGGGACCGAAAGGCCUCGCGCUAUUGGAGCGGCCGAUGUCGGAUUAGCUAGUUGGUGGGGUAAAGGCUUACCAAGGCGACGAUCCGUAGCUGGCCUGCGAGGACGACCAGCCACACGGGGACUGAGACACGGCCCAGAUUCCUACGGGAGGAAGAAGUGGGGAAUUUUGGCAAAUGGGGGCAACCUUGCGCCAGCCAUGCGGGGGGCGGAAAGAAGGCCUUCGGGUGGUAAACCGUUUUUGUUGGGGAAGAAAUCCUUUGGGCUAAUACCCCGGGGGGAGGACGGUACCGGAAGAAUAAGCACCGGUUAAUUACGU